RNAcentral lists this ribosomal RNA (1547 nucleotides) under Escherichia coli. RNAcentral describes it as "bacterial SSU rRNA". It matches the Rfam family "Bacterial small subunit ribosomal RNA". Lineage: Bacteria; Pseudomonadati; Pseudomonadota; Gammaproteobacteria; Enterobacterales; Enterobacteriaceae. The record is from RNAcentral.
AAUUGAAGAGUUUGAUCCAUGGCUCAGAUUGAACGCUGGCGGCAGGCUAACACAUGCAAGUCGAACGGUAACAGGAAGAAGCUUGCUUCUUUGCUGACGAGUGGCGGACGGGUGAGUAAUGUCUGGGAAACUGCCUGAUGGAGGGGGAAUAACUACUGGAAACGGUAGCUAAUACCGCAUAACGUCGCAAGACCAAAAGAGGGGGACCUUCGGGCCUCUUGCCAUCGGAUGUGCCCAGAUGGGAUUAGCUAGUAGGUGGGGGGGGUAACGGCUCACCUAGGCGACGAUCCUAGCUGGUCUGAGAGGAUGACCAGCCACACUGGAACUGAGACACGGUCCAGACUCCUACGGGAGGCAGCAGUGGGGAAUAUUGCACAAUGGGCGCAAGCCUGAUGCAGCCAUGCCGCGUGUAUGAAGAAGGCCUUCGGGUUGUAAAGUACUUUCAGCGGGGAGGAAGGGAGUAAAGUUAAUACCUUUGCUCAUUGACGUUACCCGCAGAAGAAGCACCGGCUAACUCCGUGCCAGCAGCCGCGGUAAUACGGAGGGGUGCAAGCGUUAAUCGGAAUUACUGGGCGUAAAGCGCACGCAGGCGGUUUGUUAAGUCAGAUGUGAAAUCCCCGGGCUCAACCUGGGAACUGCAUCUGAUACUGGCAAGCUUGAGUCUCGUAGAGGGGGGUAGAAUUCCAGGUGUAGCGGUGAAAUGCGUAGAGAUCUGGAGGAAUACCGGUGGCGAAGGCGGCCCCCUGGACGAAGACUGACGCUCAGGUGCGAAAGCGUGGGGAGCAAACAGGAUUAGAUACCCUGGUAGUCCACGCCGUAAACGAUGUCGACUUGGAGGUUGUGCCCUUGAGGCGUGGCUUCCGGAGCUAACGCGUUAAGUCGACCGCCUGGGGAGUACGGCCGCAAGGUUAAAACUCAAAUGAAUUGACGGGGGCCCGCACAAGCGGUGGAGCAUGUGGUUUAAUUCGAUGCAACGCGAAGAACCUUACCUGGUCUUGACAUCCACGGAAGUUUUCAGAGAUGAGAAUGUGCCUUCGGGAACCGUGAGACAGGUGCUGCAUGGCUGUCGUCAGCUCGUGUUGUGAAAUGUUGGGUUAAGUCCCGCAACGAGCGCAACCCUUAUCCUUUGUUGCCAGCGGUCCGGCCGGGAACUCAAAGGAGACUGCCAGUGAUAAACUGGAGGAAGGUGGGGAUGACGUCAAGUCAUCAUGGCCCUUACGACCAGGGCUACACACGUGCUACAAUGGCGCAUACAAAGAGAAGCGACCUCGCGAGAGCAAGCGGACCUCAUAAAGUGCGUCGUAGUCCGGAUUGGAGUCUGCAACUCGACUCCAUGAAGUCGGAAUCGCUAGUAAUCGUGGAUCAGAAUGCCACGGUGAAUACGUUCCCGGGCCUUGUACACACCGCCCGUCACACCAUGGGAGUGGGUUGCAAAAGAAGUAGGUAGCUUAACCUUCGGGAGGGCGCUUACCACUUUGUGAUUCAUGACUGGGGUGAAGUCGUAACAAGGUAACCGUAGGGGAACCUGCGGUUGGAUCACCUCCUUA